Gymnothorax javanicus (giant moray) is the source of this 72-nucleotide non-coding RNA. Lineage: Eukaryota; Metazoa; Chordata; Actinopteri; Anguilliformes; Muraenidae. The record is from the annotation of a GenBank genome assembly.
UGCACAAUGGCACAGUGGUUAGCAUUACUGCUUCCCAAUAAGGAAGUUCCAGGUUCGAGCCUGGCUGCCCAG